RNAcentral lists this unclassified non-coding RNA (225 nucleotides) under Hevea brasiliensis (rubber tree). The record is from RNAcentral. Lineage: Eukaryota; Viridiplantae; Streptophyta; Magnoliopsida; Malpighiales; Euphorbiaceae.
GCAAAAAAAAAAAAAAAUCAGAAACGUGUUCCUAUUUGAGUUCAUUCUCAUUUAACACAGUAAACAUGAAUGAGCUAGAAAUGAGAAAGUUGACAGAUAAGUUGAACUUUAAUACCAACUAUAGAAAUAGUUAUCCACAUUGUACAAGAAACAUAGUGAUCCACUAUAACAUCCAUAAUAAUGAAAAGAGUGAAAGUGAAAUUUUGUUUUCUCUUUGAGCAUGCA